UUACUCUGGCUUCCCUUCAAAUCACGCAUAAAUCUUUCGCCUUUCACUAAAGAUUUCCGUAGAGGGGAGCACUUGAUGAGUCUAAAGUGACAAUUUUUUGUAGUAUCUACUUACUGUAUGUUU
Nomia melanderi (Alkali bee) is the source of this 123-nucleotide small nuclear RNA. RefSeq annotates it as U5 spliceosomal RNA. The record is from RefSeq and is a predicted model, not a curated record. NCBI's taxonomy places the organism in Eukaryota, Metazoa, Arthropoda, Insecta, Hymenoptera, Halictidae.